CCUACGGGAGGCAGCAGUGGGGAAUAUUGGACAAUGGGCGAAAGCCUGAUCCAGCAAUGCCGCGUGAGUGAUGAAGGCCUUAGGGUUGUAAAGCUCUUUUACCAGGGAUGAUAAUGACAGUACCUGGAGAAUAAGCUCCGGCUAACUCCGUGUCAGCAGCCGCGGUAAUACGGAGGGAGCUAGCGUUAUUCGGAAUUACUGGGCGUAAAGCGUACGUAGGCGGUUAUUCAAGUCAGAGGUGAAAGCCCGGGGCUCAACCCCGGAACUGCCUUUGAAACUAGAUAACUAGAGUCUUGGAGAGGUUAGUGGAAUUCCGAGUGUAGAGGUGAAAUUCGUAGAUAUUCGGAAGAACACCAGUGGCGAAGGCGACUAACUGGACAAGUACUGACGCUGAGGUACGAAAGCGUGGGGAGCAAACAGGAUUAGAUACCCUGGUAGUCCACGCCGUAAACGAUGAUAACUAGCUGUCCGGGCACUUGGUGCCUGGGUGGCGCAGCUACGACAUAAGUUAUCCGUCCGUCGGGUAGGUACGGUCGCGAGAAGUUAAAACGUUAAAGUAAGUAAGUUAGUACGGACGUGUAAGUACGUGUUCCGAACGACGACGACGAAGGGAGGAGG
Molecule: ribosomal RNA, 618 nt
Filed under: uncultured bacterium
Lineage: Bacteria
Description: bacterial SSU rRNA
Rfam family: Bacterial small subunit ribosomal RNA (bases 1-517)
Source: RNAcentral